AUCCGACAGGACUGGCGAUACUUCUUCCAGAGUCCAGUCCUUUUCAUGGAGAAACGCCUUGUUUCCUGCAAGCACCUACCAUGUCUAAUACACUUUGCUAAAUCCUGGGAAUACCAAGAGGAGGAAAAGUUGAACAGAUGCAAGACUUGAGGAGGGAGUCAUCCCUAGACAAUUCUACUGUCUGUGAGAGGGACUGCCUGGCCUCCAAACAGCUCUGGGGACAACUGGAAACUUCUUAUCUCAAGCAUUCAAUCCUCCUGCUAGCUGUGUGACCUUUGGAAGAGUGGAAAGAAUAUGAGAUCUAUGAUCAGAUGACCCGGGCUCAAACCCCCGUUUUGCUACUUAUGACUUGCAUGACCU
This 360-nucleotide long non-coding RNA is filed under the name Sarcophilus harrisii (Tasmanian devil). RNAcentral describes it as "lncRNA (ENSSHAG00000028047.1)". Lineage: Eukaryota; Metazoa; Chordata; Mammalia; Dasyuromorphia; Dasyuridae. The record is from RNAcentral.